AAUUAUAGACUAUUAAUAAUUAUAUUAACAAGUAUAGUGUGUAAUUAUGCUAUUUGAAUAAUAUUUAAUAACGUAAUAUAUAAUAUAGGAUCAUAGAACCCCUACGAACCACUCUCCCAGCCCAUAGAAUCGCUAGGUUUACCUUGUACCUAAAGCUUUUUGUGAUUCUGCUUGCUUCCUUUCCGUCCCACUAAAACAGGCUUAACGUUGCUUCCAACCUGCAAGGCUCCCUUUCUCUCCUUUCCCUUUUCCUGGGGUGGGGGUGUUUGGGACUAAAAGCUGCCCAGGUUUUGCCGCUGACAUGACCGGGACGGUGGGGAUAAACCGGGACACAGGAGCAUUCCCUCAGAGCUCCUGAGAGAUGGGGCUGAGAGCAGGCAUCCCAGGGUGCCGAGAGUGUUCUCCGGCACAGUCAGCAGGGUUCCUGGUCCAUCCCAAGGAAGCCAAAGGGACAGGAUGGGAAGGACUGGUGGGGACGAAGCUACGGGGCUUCCUCCCCCAGAGAACUUCCCUUGGAAAUGGAUCUCACACUUGGAAAAUCUCCAAACACCAUCAGAGCAGGAAAACCCCACUGAGGGCAACAAAGGGCCAGCCUGCAGCAUCGAGGACCAAGUGGCCCGUGCCCUCACCUCCCUCAUGAGCCGCCUGAGGAACAGCUUCUUUGCCGUGUAUGCAUGACCCAUUCCUGCUGUGGGCUGGUGAGAAUGGGGAUGUCUGAGGGUUAAUGCAAGCCCAGGGGAGAGCAGAGGGUGCUCUCCACCUAGCAGCCAAAGGGCUCCCACUCUGGUGCCGAAGCUCGGGCACGGCUCGUGCUGGGGCUGCUUCCAGGCAGAGCGAAGAGCAAAAGCCCCUCAGCAGACGCACUGCCACACAAGAUCUGUGUGACAUCAAGGGAGAACAGACCUGCUUCCCAGACAAAGAGAGAGAAAGGGCCACACCGGAGAGGCUGUGGCAAAGCAAGCUUCAUUUUCUCCACCUCUUCACUUCCCCGGAUUGUUUUCCUUUCCUUUUGGACAGUGCUCCUGAAGCCCUUCCUUUGGGGAAGAGCUACUGGCAGUGUUGAACGGCGUGGAGAGAAAUCCCGUUCCUCCUGGAUGCUGCUCUGUCACCUCACUGCCAGCAGCAGUUUUUCAGCCCCGGGAGGGAAAUGCACCUGGAAAGGCUUUACCCGAGACUUGGGCCCUUGACAGCCACCGGACUCCCUCUUUUCCAGAAAAGAGACAGUGCUGCAGCGAGAGCAGCUCUCGAAAAUCCUGCUUGUGGCAUUUGUGUUAUUUCUCAGUGAGUUUUCCUGAGCAAACCUGGGAAGGCGACAGCCCAGCUGUGCUGCAUGCCAGCUUCCAGCUUUCCUUUGGGGCCAGGACGUGGCCCAAGCGCUUCCUGAGCACAGCCAUGCCCGGCACUGGCUUUUGGCCUCCCAGUCAGACCAGCAGCGUCCUGGCCGAGGUGAUACUCCAGCCAUGGGAGCAAGUGGCUCGCUCCGUCGGCGGGAGAUGAGCGCAGCUAUUCCCAAGCCUCAACUGGGGAUUGCCGGAGGGGAGAGCCGUGCAGGGGGAGCGAUGGAGAGGUGCCUCCCAGCCCGUGGAGCCUGGUCUGGGUGCUCCCUGAAGCACUGAGGGGGAACGGGGCAGGGCUGCGGGGCACCGAGCACGCCUGGGACCCAGCCUGGUCCCCUCCACCCCUGGAACGGCCAGGAGACUGCACCUGCCGGGAUCGCUGGCCACCCCGCUCCAAUCAAUGCCUCUUGGUUCUGCUGCAGCUAUUGUUUUUGGCUGGACCUGGUGCACAUCAGGAACACAGAGAAAGACAGAGGUGGGGGACUGUGGUGGGGCCGGCACGUCCUGCGAGGGAGCGCUGCUGCCGGGGGCUGGGUCCAGCUGAGGCUCUUGAGCUGCCACGCAGGGUGGCCCAAAGCAGCAGCUUUUGCCGGCUCUUCCUAGGGGAGCCUCUCCUGGGAAGCCCCAGUGGCUCUGGCAGGGGAUGCUCAAACACAGUGUUUUUCCAUUUUCAGGGACAGACAAGUGUCAUAGAUAACAAUCUGGAGAAGCUGAGGUGAGAGCUUUCAAGGACCCUACUAACAGGCAGUGUGAAUUGCAAUGAACUAAGCUUUUCCCUUAUAUGGUGCGGUUUACAAUAAACUAAGAUGCUUCGAAGUUUCUUUCCCUAUAUCUUAUAUGUUUGCCUAUCAAUUCCGCCCUGUCUUUAAUGCUAGGCAAAGUUGUUUGCGUUAUACAUGAUCUGUUUCUCGAAGGGAAUGGGAUAAUACUUUGCUUGAAAUUUUCCCCUCAAUGCAUUCUUAAGCGCAGUAGACAUACAAGUUAGAACUGUCACUCGCUGUAACAUUUUCCCAUUCCAAACAAACAGUAUAACAGACAAAGCAAGGCUGACUAAAACUAGUAUUAAAAGAAUGACAAUGGUGUGACUCAACUUAUUUAGAAUGUCAGUCGCAGCAGGUGACCAUCCAAAAAGUACAUCCCACCAAGUCUUGGCUUGCAUCUUCUUUCACCCUUUUCAGGACCCUAUUUAUUUCCCCUGUGUCUUGAUGGAUUGUUAUCAGGGUUUUUCUCCCAUUUCCUUGGGCCUCCUUCAAAAUUUUGAUCCAAUCCUCAUGUUUCAGUAAUUGUUUUCCCAAUGUAAGAUUCAUCCCAGUAGGUACAGGUGAUAAUGUGUAAAACAGCGUAUAACUGGAUUCUAUCAACUGGUGGGAUACAACUGGUGCUAAGUAAGAAAAGUCACACCCGACAAUCUUAACAAAAUUACAAACACAGGAAUUAGACUGAUUCUUGCUAUCUGUAAUCAUCUUGUCUAUUGUUACAGAGGUACAGGCAGUUCUCAAACACACACAACCCUGACCAAUAUAUAGAAGUAUGGUCUUUUGAUUAGUGUCUGGAUGGAUUUCAAAGUGACAAAUGCCUUGUUCAGGGUCAAGGCAGAUGUCUUGGGCAUCGAUAGGAUUACUUUCGCAAAGAAACCCUUGUUGUUCUCGUGUAAUACAAGACUGCAAAUUUACAGUUUGCCAACUCUCGUUCACCAUUUGUGCCCCUGCCCUAUGUUUGGAAGGACAGAGCACCAUUCUUUCAUGAUUUAAUCCUAACGCAACGAUGGGGUGGAUGACAUAUAUUGAAGCGUUAUGUAUGGUCAACACAAAGGUUGUGGCCACAUUAGUGAUUGGCUCCUAGGUAAAAUUUACCAGAAUCCACCAAGAUUGGAGCUUGCUUUCUAAGUCAGUGGCACUGUCCCAAACAAUUUUCUGAAUUUCGGUGGGGAAAGUGCCUUCGCUACCUUCUCUUAUAGUUAAGGCGGCCACUGACUGCAUCCAUAAUUGUCCUUGUAUACAACUGAGAGACAAAGAAACAUUAUCUUGGAUCACACCGAGUGCAUUUACUAUCAAUUCAUUGUUCUGUUCCUCCCCUUUUCCUACUCUGGUAACACUUUUGGUAACAGCCACUGAUUAGUUCCUAAAGCCAAUAGAGAAGAUCGUAAAGGCUGUUGUAAUAUUGACAAAUUGGUAGUGGUGAUAGCCAAUUUGUUCCCUAGUACCUCUGAGUCAAUGCUAUUCAGAACCCCCAAUCCUGUUCCCACAACACCUGUCAGAUCUCUUCGUUGUCUCUGAAAAGUUGCCCUUUUACAUAGCCAGGUGGUCCAUCCCUCGUAAGAGGUUCGUUAAAUUCAACACGCUGGUUGAAUUUCUGAGGCACUGUUUUGCAUCAGCAACUCAACCUGUUUAAGAGGCCCCUCCGGGUUAAACAGCAUUUGCUGUUGGCCCGUGUUCCUUAUUAUAUACGGACCGAUCUCAUAAAUUCUGGGUUUGAGUGCUGGUGUAGGUUGUGUGAUCUGGUUUGGGGCUUGAGUGCUGGCAUAGGUUGCAACAGGCUCAGCUAUGGCAUCUAUUUUAAAUUUGAAUGAGAGCCCACUAGUAGCGUAGGCCCAAACCACCCUAACGGUCUGUACUAAUGUAAAAUUAUGCCAACAGUCUAAUUCAUUUGAAAUACAGGUCUGUGUGUUCUUAUCUGUAGGAGUAGUUGAGAUAGUAAUUUGGGAUGUCAACUCACUGUGGUUCCACAGUCCUCUCUGCAAGAGACUUUUCAUAUACAUAAUUUCCGGGCCGUAUGCUAUGCACAGGUCCAUCCCAACUCCUACCUUGCGUCCCAACCAGGUUUUCCAAUUUUUCUAAGUUGUUUGCCCAAUGCCACCAUGUAGAAGGUCAUGAUUUCAUCCCCAGCUUGUGUGGACAUCCCUUUCUCUAUUCCAUAGGGUCGUCCUUACAAGAUUUCAAAAGGGCUCAGUCCUUCUUUUACCCUUGGUCUGAUUCAUAUGCGCAAGAGACUCAGGGGAAGAGACUGAAGCCAAGCCAGGUUGGUUUCCUGUCCCAAUUUCACAAUUUGCUGCUUAAUCAAGUGAUUCAUCUCCUCUACUCAGCCACUCAACUGAGGGCAAUAUGGGGUAUGAAGCUGCCAAUCCAUACCCAAAUAGUGACUGAUUUGUUGUACUACUUUUGAGAUAAAAUGUGGUCCCCUAUCAGGAGACAUGGUUGCUGGAACCCCAAAGCGUGCUAUUGUCUCCUGGAUUAAUGUUCUGGUUACCUCUCGAGCCUUGGCUGUUCUAGUAGGGAAUGCCUCCGGCCAACCUGAGAAGAUAUCAGUUACUACCAAUAAGUAUCUAUACCCCCCUUUUCUUGGGAGUUCCGAAAAAUCAAUCUGCCACAGUUCCCAGGCCCAUUGACUCUUCCAAUUUGGCCCAUUUCUGGUUUGCGGUAAUUUUGGGAUUAGUCUGGAGACAAAGGUCACACUGCUCAGUCACUUGUCUCACAGUGGUGCAUAAAUUUCUAGCUGCAAUCUCUUUAAUUCGGAGUUUAUAUAGGACUUUUGCCCCCCAAUGCCUCUUCCUGUGUUCCUCCCUUAUCAAAGACCAUGUUAAAUAAGAGGGAAUGAUUAGUUUCCCCUGUGGGGUGGGGGGCCCACCCCUCUUUAUAAUACGACCCUUCCAGGUCUGUGAGAAGCUUCUGAUCUUCCCUGGUAUAUUCUGGCUUACCUUCUAGGGAGAUUCGCCCGUCAGGGACCAAAGCCCCUUCGGUUUUUACCUCACCUUUGGCUGCCGGUUUUGCCUCUCUGUCCAUCAGCUCAUUUCCUCUUUCCAAUUCCAAAUUCAUUUUCUGGUGCACCUGGAUGGGCAUGAUUGUUGCUUUCUCAGGUAGCUGGACUGUUUCUGGCACUCUCAGAAUCCCUCUGCAUGCUUGAUGCUUUUGCCCCGGCAUGUCUUUUUUCCACUUAAGACAUAGCUGCUCCCAUCCGUGAACCAGCUCUCCGCCUCUUCCAUGGGACUGUCUUUCAGGUCUGAACGGCUCGAGCAUGUGGCCGCGAUGGUCUUUAAGCAGUCACGGUGCACUGGUUCUCCUCUAUUUCCACUGAGGAAAGAAGCUGGCUUGAUGAUGUUAGUGACCACAAUUCCCACAUCAUCACGUUCCACCAGUAUAGCUUGGUAUGUAAGGAACCUUUGUGGAGAAAGCCAGUGCCCACCUUUCACUUCCAGUACUGCAGAUGCUGUAUGGGACACUAACACAGUCAUUUUCUGGCCCAAGGUCAAUCUUCACAUCUCCUGGAUGUUUAGCACUAUGGUUGCAACCGCUCCUAAACAACCAGGCCCUCGGGCAAUCUCUUGCUUCUCAUCAGAGAAAAGGAAAAAUGGCUUACUCACAUCUGGGAGUCCUAAGGCCAGGGCCCACAUCAGGGCUUUCUUCAGCUGUUCCAAGUCUUGUACAGCCUCUUUGCUCCAUUGAAUGUAUUUCUUUUUGGCAGUGGUUAGUGCAUACAGAGCUUUAACAAGCAGCCCAUCGUUACAGAUCCAUAGCCGACACCACCCAGUCAUCCCCAAGAAAGUUCGCAACCCCUUCACUGUUUGCGGUCUCGGAGUUUGUCAUAUUGCCUCUUCUUGGGUCUGCUCCAAAGUUCUUUGUCCAGCGCUGAUUUCAUAGCCCAGAUAGAUCACCUCGCAUUGCAUUAUCUGGGCAUUCUGUUUAGAUACCCGGUAUCCCUGGAGCCCCAAAAAGUUUAACAGACCCACCGUCCAGGUCAUGCAAGCGUUGUCUUGGUGGAAAUCAGGAUAUUACCUACGUACUGCAACAGUCUCCCUUCCUCAGGUGGGGCUUCCCAGGACUCAAGAUCCUUUGCAAGUCAAUUACCAAAUACCCAGGUGAGUCGAGUUCUGUGCUCGCUUUUAGGGUUUUCCCAUUCAAAUGCAAAUAUUUUCUGGCUGGCUUCAUGGAGAGGGAGGCAAAAGCAGGCAUCCUUCAGGUCUAAAACAGCAAACCAGGUUAGUUCAGGUAUUAAUAGAGUCAACAGGAUAUAUGAAUUUGCCACCACCGGGUAGAGGUCUUCAGUUAUUUUAUUUAAAGCCCAUAAGUGCCAGGCACAUCGGUGACCCAUACCUCAGGGUAUACCCGGUUUGUGAUUUCUUCACCGAUUUUUUCUUUCUGUGGGAACCCUGGCUAGGGAUAAACUCAUUAUUUGUAUACACUGCUGGUCAUUUACCUCCAGAGUAAUCUCUCCCUUUUCAAAUUUAAUUAUUGCACCCAAAUGUCCUAAUAAGUCUCUCCACAAAAAUGCGUUCGGGGAGUUGGGCAUAUACAAGAAUCUGUGGAUGCCCCAUUAUUUUCCCAGUUUAUAACUUAGAGGUUCACAAAAAUACGCGUUUUCACUUUGGCCAGCUGCCUCUUUUACCAUGACAUAGUCAUUUCCUAGGGGCAUCAAAGCUUGGUUCAAAACUGUUUAUGUUGCCCCUGUAUCAACUAAAAAUUCUACCUUCUUUUCCUCUUCCCCUGGAUUCCCCAGCUCCCCGUCAGUCUUCCUUCACUGUUCUUCUUUUAGACUGGCCCAGAACCAAAGAAACUAGCUGUUGCAUUCCUACCUCUGACCCAAGAUCCAGCAGUGUAUGGCAGCGCAUCACAGCCCUCAGUCGAUCUAGGAAUUCAGACGAUGACUCAGAGGAACCUUGUUUCAUUGUUUGGGAAUGGCCCUUUCCAUUCUCUUUGAAAUCCACCCCAAUAUGCCUGUAAUGUUUCUAUAUAUUUGGAUCUGUUUGGAUCCCACAUUGGGUCUUGGAGGGGAAAAUACUCUUUCCAAAUCCCCUGCAGUUUUUCCACCUUCCCAGAGAGGUGCCUGCAAAACUGUCAAAGCAAACCUCUUCAUGGUGUUAGCGUAGAGACAAACACAUAACCAUACGAAGAAGGUUAUAUGUGGUGCUUUAUUUCGAGGCCCCGGGAACCAGGGGUACGCACCCAAAUCUGGUUCCAAAGACCGUCACAUCGCGUUCGCCAUUUAUCCUUAAAGUGUUGCUCAAUCUGUUACAUAUUCAAAAGGUCUCCGCCUAACUUGUUACAUAUUCAUUUCAAGAUUGCUCCAGCCAGUCUUGCAACAUUAACCCUUACUGCGCUGGCGCACCCUCUUUCGGUGGUCGUGGGGAUGAAGAAAAUACUCUUCCUCGGAUGAAGUAACUCAUCUUCCUCAUACUGUCCUUUUCACCUUUGGGCUUCUGGCAGAUCAUCAACCUCCCGAAGGACUGGUUGGAUUUCAGCAUUCUUUACAUUUUUAUGCAAACUGUUAGCUUUUUGCAAGUUUACUGCUUGUAUUAGAUAAAGAUACUAACUCUAUGUCCUGUUAACAUGGAUAAGAUUUCUUCUAGCUCAGCAAGAGUUUUCAGCAUCCCUUCCCAAAUAAGGAUACCUCGAGACUAUACCCUGGAGCAAGCGAAAUUUCAACAGAGUAGUUAGUUUUUUACCUAUAUUUAAUAGAAUUGUUAGAACCAUUAGUUAUUCGACUAUAUUUUAGUAUGACAAACUAGAGUUUUCCAACAUUGAGACAUAGCGGGGCGGCGGCGCGCACCACUCCACUGCUUCGCAUCCGCCCCGCGGCCGCUUCCGGCCGGGCACUUCGGGCGGGGGAAGGAGGUGCUCCGGGAGGGGCGGGGCCGGAAGGGGCGGUGGGGCAGAGCCGCUUCCGGUGCGAGCGCAGCGACGGGGCAGGUGAGGGCCCGGGCCUCAAUGUUAUGGGCCAGCCUGCAGCAUCGAGGACCAAGUGGCCCGUGCCCUCACCUCCCUCAUGAGCCGCCUGAGGAACAGCUUCUUUGCCGUGUAUGCAUGACCCAUUCCUGCUGUGGGCUGGUGAGAAUGGGGAUGUCUGAGGGUUAAUGCAAGCCCAGGGGAGAGCAGAGGGUGCUCUCCACCUAGCAGCCAAAGGGCUCCCACUCUGGUGCCGAAGCUCGGGCACGGCUCGUGCUGGGGCUGCUUCCCAGCAGAGCGAAGAGCAAAAGCCCCUCAGCAGACGCACUGCCACACAAGAUCUGUGUGACAUCAAGGGAGAACAGACCUGCUUCCCAGCCAAAGAGAGAGAAAGGGCCACACCGGAGAGGCUGUGGCAAAGCAAGCUUCAUUUUCUCCACCUCUUCACUUACCCGGAUUGUUUUCCUUUCCUUUUGGACAGUGCUCCUGAAGCCCUUCCUUUGGGGAAGAGCUGCUGGCAGUGUUGAACGGCGUGGAGAGGAAUCCCGUUCCUCCUGGAUGCUGCUCUGUCACCUCACUGCCAGCAGCAGUUUUUCAGCCCCGGGAGGGAAAUGCACCUGGAAAGGCUUUACCCGAGACUUGGGCCCUUGACAGCCACCGGACUCCCUCUUUUCCAGAAAAGAGACAGUGCUGCAGCGAGAGCAGCUCUUGAAAAUACUGCUUGUGGCAUUUGUGUUAUUUCUCAGUGAGUUUUCCUGAGCAAACCUGGGAAGGCGACAGCCCAGCUGUGCUGCAUGCCAGCUUCCAGCUUUCCUUUGGGGCCAGGACGUGGCCCAAGCGCUUCCUGAGCACAGCCAUGCCCGGCACUGGCUUUUGGCCUCCCAGUCAGACCAGCAGCGUCCUGGCCGAGGUGAUGCUCCAGCCAUGGGAGCAAGUGGCUCGCUCCGUCGGCGGGAGAUGAGCGCAGCUAUUCCCAAGCCUCAACUGGGGAUUGCCGGAGGGGAGAGCCGUGCAGGGGGAGCGAUGGAGAGGUGCCUCCCAGCCCGUGUAGCCUGGUCUGGGUGCUCCCUGAAGCACUGAGGGGGAACAGGACAGGGCUGCGGGGCACCGAGCACGCCUGGGACCCAGCCUGGUCCCCUCCACCCCUGGAACGGCCAGGAGACUGCACCUGCCGGGAUCGCUGGCCACCCCGCUCCAAUCAAUGCCUCUUGGUUCUGCUGCAGCUAUUGUUUUUGGCUGAACCUGGUGCACGUCAGGAACACAGAGAAAGUCAGAGGUGGGGGACUGUGGUGGGGCCGGCACGUCCUGCGAGGGAGCGCUGCUGCCGGGGGCUGGGUCCAGCUGAGGCUCUUGAGCUGCCACGCAGGGUGGCCCAAAGCAGCAGCUUUUGCCGUCUCUUCCUAGGGGAGCCUCUCCUGGGAAGCCCCAGUGGCUCUGGCAGGGGAUGCUCAAACACAGUGUUUUUCCAUUUUCAGGGACAGACAAGUGUCUUAGAUAACAAUCUGGAGAAGCUGAGGUGAGAGCUUUCAAGGACCCUACUAACAGGCAGUGUGAAUUGCAAUGAACUAAGCUUUUCCCUUAUAUGGUGCGGUUUACAAUAAACUAAGAUGCUUCGAAGUUUCUUUCCCUAUAUCUUAUAUGUUUGCCUAUCAAUUCCGCCCUGUCUUUAAUGCUAGGCAAAGUCGUUUGCGUUAUACAUGAUCUGUUUCUCGAAGGGAAUGGGAUAAUACUUUGCUUGAAAUUUUCCCCUCAGUGCAUUCUUAAGCGCAGUAGACAUACAAGUUAGAACUGUCAGUCGCUGUAACAUUUUCCCAUUCCAAACAAACAGUGUAACAGACAAAGCAAGGCUGACUAAAACUAGUAUUAAAAGAAUGACAAUGGUGUGACUCAACUUAUUUAGAAUGUCAGUCGCAGCAGGUGACCAUCCAAAAAGUACAUCCCACCAAGUCUUGGCUUGCAUCUUCUUUCACCCUUUUCAGGACCCUAUUUAUUUCCUCUGUGUCUUGAUGGAUUGUUAUCAGGGUUUUUUUCUCCCAUUUCCUUGGACCUCCUUCAAAAUUUUGAUCCAAUCCUCAUGUUUCAGUAAUUGUUUUCCCAAUGUUAGAUUCAUUCCAGUCGGUACAGGUGAUAAUGUGUAAAACAAUGUAUAACUGGAUUCUAUCAACUGGUGGGAUACGACUGGUGCUAAGUAAGAAAAGUCACACCCAACAAUCUUAACAAAAUUACAAACACAGGAAUUAGAAUGAUUCUUGCUAUCUGUAAUUAUCUUGUCUAUUGUUACAGAGGUACAGGCAGUUCUCAAACACACACAACCCUGACCAAUAUAUAGAAGUAUGGUCUUUUGAUUAGCGUCUGGAUGGAUUUCAAAGUGACAAAUGCCUUGUUCAGGGUCAAGGCAGAUGUCUUGAGCAUCGAUUGGAUUACUUUCGCAAAUAAACCCUUGUUGUUCUCGUGUAACACAAGACUGCAAAUUUACAGUUUGCCAACUCCCGUUCACCAUUUGUGCCCCUGCCCUAUGUUUGGAAAGACAGAGCACCAUUCUUUUAUGAUUUAAUCCUAAUGCAAUGAUGGGGUGGAUUACAUAUAUUGAAGCGUUAUGUAUGGUCAACACAAAGGUUGUGGCCACAUUAGUGAUAGGUUCCUAGGUAAAAUUUACCAGAAUCCACCAAGAUUGGAGCUUGC
Cuculus canorus (common cuckoo) is the source of this 10675-nucleotide long non-coding RNA. RefSeq lists it as uncharacterized. The transcript has 3 exons. NCBI's taxonomy places the organism in Eukaryota, Metazoa, Chordata, Aves, Cuculiformes, Cuculidae. The record is from RefSeq and is a predicted model, not a curated record.